GCUGGGCUCAGUGGCACGUGCCUGUAGUCCCAGCUACUUGGAAGGCCCAGGAGUUCUGGGCUGUAGUGCACUAUGCCAACUGGGUGUCCGCACUAAGUUCAGCAUCAAUAUGCUGACCUCCCAGGAGCGGGGGACCACCAGGUUGCCUAAGGAGGGGUGAACCGGCCCAUGUUGGAAACAGAGCAGGUCAAAACUCCCUUGCUGAUCAGUAGUGGGAUUGCGCCUGUGAACAGCCACUGCACUCCAGCCUGGGCAACAU
This 259-nucleotide signal recognition particle RNA is filed under the name Callithrix jacchus (white-tufted-ear marmoset). RNAcentral describes it as "Metazoan signal recognition particle RNA (ENSCJAG00000078585.1)". It matches the Rfam family "Metazoan signal recognition particle RNA". Rfam says of the family: The signal recognition particle (SRP) is a universally conserved ribonucleoprotein. Lineage: Eukaryota; Metazoa; Chordata; Mammalia; Primates; Cebidae. The record is from Rfam by way of RNAcentral.